GUCCAUCACCCUUGACCAGUGACUCACAAACGACUAUGACACACGUUCAUCGUGUGGUAGCCAGUCUCCAGUGGCCGCAUCUUCUGGGACACCAAGGAACUACAUCUGUGAAGAUGCCCACUUAGUAAUGAACGGAAACCUCCUUCACCAAACAGCAAGGAGUUGAGGCUUGCCAGUAGUCAGGCGAGUGAGCUGGGAAAAGAAUUCUAACUCCAGAUGAUCCUUCAAAUGGCGGCAACUCCAGGAGAUAGUCUGAAUACAGUGUUGUGAGAGAUGCUGAGCUGCAAUCACAGUGAAGCUGCUCCUGGAGUCUCAAAUCUCAAAAACUGUAUAAGAAAAUUCCUCCUUUUAUAAAUUAUAAGUAAAGUUGAUGUGUUUGUUGUUUUAAACUGUUAAGUUUUAGAGUCAUUUGCUGCCAAGCAGUAAAUAACUAAUACAACAUGAGUAAGAAGUAAACUUUCACUGAGCCACUGGGAUUGUUUGUUACAGUACUUAACACUGACUAAUACAGCUGCUGCUGCUGCUGCUAAGUCGCCUCAGUCAUGUCUGACUCUGUGCGACCCCACAGACGGCAGCCCACGAGGCUCCCCCAUCCCUGGGAUUCUCCCGGGCAAGAAUACUGGAGUGGGUUGCCAUUUCCUUCUCCAAUGCAUGAAAGUGAAAAGUGAAAGUGAAGUCGCUCAGUCAUGUCCGACUCUUAGCGACCCCAUGGACUGCAGCCUACCAGGCUCCUCCGUCCAUGGGAUUUUCCAGGCAAGAGUACUGGAGUGGGGUGCCAUUGCCUUCUCCGGACUAAUAUAUCAGGGUGAUGCUUACAGUAACUGUGGACAUACAGUGAGCAGCACUCUAAGCUCUCUAAGGGUAAAGGCUUUGGUUUGUUCCUCUUUGAUAUUUCACUGCCUAACACAGUGCCUGGACAAGGGUAAGCAUUGAACAAAUGAUAAAUAACGCAUGUGGCUUUCAGUAAGAUGCAACGUGUGGUCCUAUGUAUGGAAUGUAUAACUUUAAGGUUAGAUGGCAUUAAAUGCACUCUAUUCAGGGUCAGAAAAAUUCUACAAUUGUAUUCCUACCAAAUAUGUAGACUGUAGUUGAUCAAACAUUCAUCCAAAGAACAGAACUCAGUCAUCUAGUUAUGUAUGUAUUAUUUCCAGACCAAGUACUCUGCUGCUGCUGCUAAGUCGCUUCAGUCGUGUCCGACUCUAUGCAACCCCAUAGACGGCAGCCCACCAGGCUCCCCUGUCUCUGGGAUUCUGCAGGCAAGAACACUGGAGUGGGUUGCCAUUUCCUUCUCCAAUGCAUGAAAGUGAAAAGUGAAAGGGAAGUUGCUCAGUUGUGUCCCACUCCUAGCGACUCCAAGGACUGCAGCCUACCAGGCUCCUCCGUCCAUGGGAUUUUCCAGGCAAGAGUCCUGGAGUGGGGUGCCAUUGCCUUCUCCGAGACCAAGUACUCUAAUAGGUAUUAAUACAUCUGUUAAUUUAAUCUUUAUAAAGAGUGUGCUAUUGCUCUUCUGGGUUUACUAAUGAGAAAACAAACUCAAGAAAGUUAAGCACUUCAUCCCGGAUUUCAGAGCAAUUCAGUAGCAGAGGCUGUGCUUGAUGUGUGAAUUGCAAAUACCAAGGAUCAUGUGUGCAUGCUAAGUCGCUUCAGUUGUGUCCGACUCUGGAGUGGGUUGCCGUAACUUCCUCCAGGGGAUCUUCCCGACCCAGAGAUCAAACCCAUGUCUCUUAGGCCUCCUGCAUUGGCAGGUGGUUCUUUACUACUAGUGCCACUUUAUGCUAGGUUGCUCCCUGAAUUGAAUUCUCAAAAGAAACAGGACAGAGCUCCAAAAUCUAAGAAAAGGCUGUUAAAUUGAUGGCGUGGAUUAAAAGAUAACCCUAUGAAGAUAGAAUAGAAUAAUCAAGACAGGCCUUGAGAGAUUCCUAUUAAGAGGUGCUAAGAUCAAAGUUUCUAAAGUCCUGGAGGACCUGGACUGAGUCGUCCCUCAAACUGAUAAACAUUCCAGGGAUGGGACCUCA
This is a long non-coding RNA of Bos taurus (domestic cattle), 2015 nucleotides long. The record is from Ensembl. NCBI's taxonomy places the organism in Eukaryota, Metazoa, Chordata, Mammalia, Artiodactyla, Bovidae.